AAAGGCGGAUUUAUCUGCCGCUCAUGGAUGGGCCUGCGGUGCAUUAGCUAGUUGGUGAGAUAGUAGCUCACCAAGGCGACGAUGCAUAGCCCACCUGAGAGGGUGAUCGGCCACACUGGGACUGAGACACGGCCCAGACUCCUACGGGAGGCAGCAGUAGGGAAUCUUCCGCAAUGGACGCAAGUCUGACGGAGCAACGCCGCGUGAGUGAUGAAGGGUUUCGGCUCGUAAAACUCUGUUGUUAAGGAAGAAUACUUGAGGUAGUAACUGGCCUUGAGAUGACGGUACUUAACCAGAAAGCCACGGCUAACUACGUGCCAGCAGCCGCGGUAAUACGUAGGUGGCAAGCGUUAUCCGGAAUUAUUGGGCGUAAAGCGCGCGUAGGCGGUAAGAUAAGUCUGAUGUGAAAGCCCCCGGCUCAACCGGGGAGGGUCAUUGGAAACUGUUUUACUUGAGUACAGAAGAGGAGAGUGGAAUUCCAUGUGUAGCGGUGAAAUGCGCAGAGAUAUGGAGGAACACCAGUGGCGAAGGCGGCUCUCUGGUCUGUAACUGACGCUGAGGUGCGAAAGCGUGGGGAUCAAACAGGAUUAGAUACCCUGGUAGUCCACGCCGUAAACGAUGAGUGCUAAGUGUUGGGGGGUUUCCGCCCCUCAGUGCUGCAGCUAACGCAUUAAG
This 675-nucleotide ribosomal RNA is filed under the name uncultured bacterium. Its description in RNAcentral is "bacterial SSU rRNA". It matches the Rfam family "Bacterial small subunit ribosomal RNA", at positions 202 to 864 of the family's 1533-position model. The record is from RNAcentral.